Molecule: ribosomal RNA, 433 nt
Filed under: uncultured bacterium
Lineage: Bacteria
Description: partial 16S ribosomal RNA
Rfam family: Bacterial small subunit ribosomal RNA
Source: RNAcentral
AGCGAACGCUGGCGGCAGGCUUAACACAUGCAAGUCGAGCGGGCCCUUCGGGGUCAGCGGCAGACGGGUGAGUAACACGUGGGAACGUACCCUUUGGUUCGGAAUAACGCUGGGAAACUAGCGCUAAUACCGGAUACGCCCUUUUGGGGAAAGGCUUGCUGCCGAAGGAUCGGCCCGCGUCUGAUUAGCUAGUUGGUGGGGUAAUGGCCUACCAAGGCGACGAUCAGUAGCUGGUCUGAGAGGAAGAUCAGCCACACUGGGACUGAGACACGGCCCAGACUCCUACGGGAGGCAGAAGUGGGGAAUAUUGGACAAUGGGCGCAAGCCUGAUCCAGCCAUGCCGGGUGAGUGAUGAAGGCCUUAGGGUUGUAAAGCUCUUUUGUCCGGGACGAUAAUGACGGUACCGGAAGAAUAAGCCCCGGCUAACUUCGUG